GCUCCAAUAGCGUAUAUUUAAGUUGCUGCAGUUAAAAAGCUCGUAGUUGGAUUUCGGGUGAGGCCUGCCGGUCCGCCGUUUCGGUGUGCACUGGCAGGGCUCACCUUGUUGCCGGGGACGGGCUCCUGGGCUUCACUGUCCGGGACUCGGAGUCGGCGCUGUCACUUUGAGUAAAUUAGAGUGUUCAAAGCAGGCCUACG
Molecule: ribosomal RNA, 200 nt
Filed under: uncultured eukaryote
Lineage: Eukaryota
Description: partial 18S ribosomal RNA
Rfam family: Eukaryotic small subunit ribosomal RNA
Source: RNAcentral